GUUUUUACCUCUGGUGGAAUUCACUUACAUUUUAAUGUGCCAUCAGCUUAUUAAUAGCAUUUUAACCUAAACAAAGAAAAGCAUAACAUUUCCAGAAAGAUUCAAGAUACCCUGUGCCAGAUGCAGCAAAGCAGCCCCAGAACAUAACCGAGCCUCCUUCAUGUUUCAUAGAGCUGAUGUGACCCGCAAAAAGCUCCAGUGGUGUCCUCCUCCUCAGUGGUGGUCUUCCAUUAAGUCCACUUUGGCUGUGCCUUUUUUGGGUCAAUGAGGUGACGUAAACAGUGACGUACUCCGAGGGAAGCCACGGCUGGUCAGUCCUUCAGCGAUUCUCUCAUAAGUUGGCCCGUCCUUCACCGUCCCCCUCAUUUGACGGUUAAUGGCCUCUUCAUUUGCGAGGGCAAGAAGGGCGCGGAAUUUCUUGUCUCCCCAGUUGCUCUUUAAUGUGUCUGUCAGGUUUGCAUUUCCCUCUUGCUACUAGCUGCUCAUUCCUGCUAUCAGCUGUUUCCUGUUAGUCCACCGCCAGUGGGUCGUACGUACGGCGUCAUCAGCAGCUCCUCCUACAAGUCAUCAACAGCCCCUCCCGUGGCGGACGGGCGCCUCGUUUUUUUUAAACCAAAAAUGUGCCGCCAAUAUGACUACCCUACAAGGCAGAAAAUUGGGCACCUCGGAUCAACUCGCCAAUCCAGCUCUGUGUGUCUAAAACGGCCCAACAUUCGCCGAAAAUCUGGCAGUGUAAAAGGGGCUUUACGUUGUUGUUGUUUGGCCGACAUGAAAGGACGGCUUUCAUCGCUGUCUGACGUGGAAGUCACUGCCAGAGCAUCGGUAUUCAAUGACUUCGGAAUGACACUGGGUUGGUGUUCCACCUGCUCUAUCGGGACACAGUAGUUUCUGGCGACAUCAGAAAUAGCUGCCACAUGGCGUGUAUCAUAGCACCGGGAAGAGUGCCUCAGUGCAUCUUUGUCUGAUGCUAACAUCAACUGACAUAGCAGCAGUAUUUGAUGACUUUUGUUGUGUCUGAAGGCGUCAGAAAUUGGUACGUUGGUAUCUGAGGUUGUAAUCAUUGACACAGUGGCGGUAUUUGAUAAGUUGUGAGUGAGAAUGGGCUGGAUCAGCCAGAUCAGUGGGCAGGUACAUAAAACUCUGUAUAUCUAGACUGUAUAAAGACAUGCUCAGUUUAUGACAUAUGAAAAAACAUUUAAACAUCAGUAUUUUUGUAUGCAGUUGAAAAUGGGAAAUAUGAAAUCUGGAGCUGGAGUUUGUUAGGGGGAUUUAUAGUAUUUUACCUCCCAUUUUGGCUCCAGAAAGUGAAUUGGCAAUGAGGGUAAGGACAGGAGAGGGGCCGAAAUAAGGCAGCCAUGUCUCUGAUCUGAACUAACAUCUGGACUCCCAGGUGCCAGUCUGUUUGAUGUGUGUAUUACUGAUUAGUGUUGAGGACAAACAGAGUUUAUAGAGAUUGGUGUGUUGGUUAACUUCACUGUUUGAUCUUCACCAGAGGACAUGCCUCUUCACCAAAUGAGAUCUGAACCUAGUUUGCAAGUAUAAUUCCACUCUUGGUAUGGUUAUUGGAGGGAAAGGAUCUUAACACAGAAGGUGAUCAUUUUUCAGAGUAAGACAGAUAUCUAAAAGUGCAGAGUGAGAGGAAGCUAGAGAGGAAACUAGUGAUCUUUACCAUACCACAGAAUGCGAUAAAGUCACGAUUGUGUGGAAUUUCUAGGGCUGCAGUCUAGUGAAGUCAACUUUGAAGAAGCUCAGUGUUCUUCUACUACAUCUCCUAUCAGUGAAAACAGCCACUUUGCCUACAGACGCCCCCCGAAAAUAAGUGACACUUUGUGGUUCUAAUUAUGCAUGUAGUAGUAGAAAUGAGAGACCUCAGUGGUUGGGACUGGAACUUAAAAGACCCAACAGUGGACCAAGCCAAGAACCACAACUUAAGUUCUGAUGUUUAUUACUAUUACCAGACUCUCACUGCAUGAGCUGGUCAUUUUUUGUUCACCCAGUUCCACCAGUGUCCCUGAGCAGAGAAUUUCUAUCACCUAUCCAUCCAUUUGUCCAUCCUCAGACACAUUUAUCCCACCACCUCUUACACCAGCCCCGAUGUAAAAAAACAACAACAAAAAAAACAAAAAAACCUAAUAAUUAAAUCCUUGAGGCUCAUAUCACACAAUAGCAGUUGUGUGAAGGGAUGCGUAUCAAUGUUUACCAACCCUCACAAAUGGCAAACAAGCAUGGCAGAAUUGUGUGUGUGUGUGUGUUUGUGUGUGUAGACAGAGCAGCUGCUACUCUCUGGGUGUCUCCUAGGACCACAGCAGGUCUCUGAAUGUUUGUUGUGUGUGUGUGUGUGUGUGUGUGUGUAUGUUUGCUUAGAGAGGCGUAUGAAGGACACUUCAAUGAGACGGCCAACAAAACAUCAGACAAAGGCCUGCAUAACACACACACACACACACACACACAUACACGCACACACAGUUACAUUUACAGGAACGUUUCCUUUGACAUUUCCCCUUUCUCUCUUUAACUCUUUAGGGUAACAUGUGCCUCCAAAAAUGUUGUGAAAUCAGCGUGAUCUCUUAAAAUCCCCCCCUCCCUCCAGACAGGCAGAUGGGAUGAUACAGUUAAAUUCAACCUUAAUGACCUGGACAUAAUUUUUGGCACAUGACGAGGUGUCUACAAUUUUCUACCAGCCAUGACUUUGCCAUGACCUUUGCUUUGGAUAUUCAUGGUCCUCUGAGGAUGCACCCUGAUAAUAGUGACACUCUAACCUUUGAUUAGCGAUAUACCAAGACCAAAAUUUGUUCUUGUAUACAGUAAAUAUCUAAUUGAAAGAGAAUUGUCAUGAA
Epinephelus moara (kelp grouper) is the source of this 2837-nucleotide long non-coding RNA. RefSeq lists it as uncharacterized. The transcript is spliced from 3 exons. Lineage: Eukaryota; Metazoa; Chordata; Actinopteri; Perciformes; Serranidae. The record is from RefSeq and is a predicted model, not a curated record.